AUUGAACGCUGGCGGCAGGCCUAACACAUGCAAGUCGAACGGUAGCAGGAAGAAGCUUGCUUCUUUGCUGACGAGUGGCGGACGGGUGAGUAAUGUCUGGGAAACUGCCUGAUGGAGGGGGAUAACUACUGGAAACGGUAGCUAAUACCGCAUAACGUCGCAAGCCCAAAGAGGGGGACCUUCGGGCCUCUUGCCAUCGGAUGUGCCCAGAUGGGAUUAGCUAGUAGGUGGGGUAACGGCUCACCUAGGCGACGAUCCCUAGCUGGUCUGAGAGGAUGACCAGCCACACUGGAACUGAGACACGGUCCAGACUCCUACGGGAGGCAGCAGUGGGGAAUAUUGCACAAUGGGCGCAAGCCUGAUGCAGCCAUGCCGCGUGUAUGAAGAAGGCCUUCGGGUUGUAAAGUACUUUCAGCGGGGAGGAAGGGAGUAAAGUUAAUACCUUUGCUCAUUGACGUUACCCGCAGAAGAAGCACCGGCUAACUCCGUG
RNAcentral lists this ribosomal RNA (490 nucleotides) under uncultured bacterium. Its description in RNAcentral is "partial 16S ribosomal RNA". It matches the Rfam family "Bacterial small subunit ribosomal RNA", at positions 30 to 507 of the family's 1533-position model. The record is from RNAcentral.